ACGAGUUUUAAUUGUUAAGGUUAGGAGUUGAGCUGGUUAAUCUAAUUAAUAUGUGCUUACUCUAAUCGAAACAAGUCCACUCAUUACCUUAACACCUUGUGAACUUAUUUCAUUACAAACUUAUUAUUUGUUAUUGGAAACGUUUGAUUAUUAAAAAGUUAAUA
RNAcentral lists this unclassified non-coding RNA (164 nucleotides) under soil metagenome. Its description in RNAcentral is "partial internal transcribed spacer 1". The record is from RNAcentral.